Molecule: ribosomal RNA, 484 nt
Filed under: uncultured bacterium
Lineage: Bacteria
Description: partial 16S ribosomal RNA
Rfam family: Bacterial small subunit ribosomal RNA
Source: RNAcentral
AUUGAACGCUGGCGGCAGGCCUAACACAUGCAAGUCGAGCGGAUGAAGGGAGCUUGCUCCUGGAUUCAGCGGCGGACGGGUGAGUAAUGCCUAGGAAUCUGCCUGGUAGUGGGGGAUAACGUCCGGAAACGGGCGCUAAUACCGCAUACGUCCUGAGGGAGAAAGUGGGGGAUCUUCGGACCUCACGCUAUCAGAUGAGCCUAGGUCGGAUUAGCUAGUUGGUGGGGUAAAGGCCUACCAAGGCGACGAUCCGUAACUGGUCUGAGAGGAUGAUCAGUCACACUGGAACUGAGACACGGUCCAGACUCCUACGGGAGGCAGCAGUGGGGAAUAUUGGACAAUGGGCGAAAGCCUGAUCCAGCCAUGCCGCGUGUGUGAAGAAGGUCUUCGGAUUGUAAAGCACUUUAAGUUGGGAGGAAGGGCAGUAAGUUAAUACCUUGCUGUUUUGACGGUACCAACAGAAUAAGCACCGGCUAACUACGUG